This 1345-nucleotide ribosomal RNA is filed under the name uncultured bacterium. RNAcentral describes it as "bacterial SSU rRNA". It matches the Rfam family "Bacterial small subunit ribosomal RNA", at positions 28 to 1381 of the family's 1533-position model. The record is from RNAcentral.
GACGAACGCUGGCGGCGUGCUUUACACAUGCAAGUCGAACGAUGAUGACCAGCUUGCUGGUUUGAUUAGUGGCGAACGGGUGAGUAACACGUGAGUAACCUGCCCCAGACUCUGGGAUAACUCCGGGAAACCGGGGCUAAUACUGGAUAUCCAUCUCCUGCUGCAUGGUGGGGGUUGUAAAGGGUUUCUGGUCUGGGAUGGGCUCGCGGCCUAUCAGCUUGUUGGUGGGGUGAUGGCCUACCAAGGCUUUGACGGGUAGCCGGCCUGAGAGGGUGACCGGCCACACUGGGACUGAGACACGGCCCAGACUCCUACGGGAGGCAGCAGUGGGGAAUAUUGCACAAUGGGCGAAAGCCUGAUGCAGCGACGCCGCGUGAGGGAUGACGGCCUUCGGGUUGUAAACCUCUUUCAGCAGGGAAGAAGCUCUCGGGUGACGGUACCUGCAGAAGAAGCGCCGGCUAACUACGUGCCAGCAGCCGCGGUAAUACGUAGGGCGCAAGCGUUGUCCGGAAUUAUUGGGCGUAAAGAGCUCGUAGGCGGUUUGUCGCGUCUGCUGUGAAAUCCUCAGGCUCAACCUGGGGCGUGCAGUGGGUACGGGCAGACUAGAGUGCGGUAGGGGAGACUGGAAUUCCUGGUGUAGCGGUGGAAUGCGCAGAUAUCAGGAGGAACACCGGUGGCGAAGGCGGGUCUCUGGGCCGUAACUGACGCUGAGGAGCGAAAGCAUGGGGAGCGAACAGGAUUAGAUACCCUGGUAGUCCAUGCCGUAAACGUUGGGCACUAGGUGUGGGGUCCAUUCCACGGGUUCCGCGCCGUAGCAAACGCAUUAAGUGCCCCGCCUGGGGAGUACGGCCGCAAGGCUAAAACUCAAAGGAAUUGACGGGGGCCCGCACAAGCGGCGGAGCAUGCGGAUUAAUUCGAUGCAACGCGAAGAACCUUACCAAGGCUUGACAUGCACGGGAAGCCACCAGAGAUGGUGGUCUCUUUGGACACUCGUGCACAGGUGGUGCAUGGUUGUCGUCAGCUCGUGUCGUGAGAUGUUGGGUUAAGUCCCGCAACGAGCGCAACCCUCGUCCUAUGUUGCCAGCACGUGAUGGUGGGGACUCAUAGGAGACUGCCGGGGUCAACUCGGAGGAAGGUGGGGAUGACGUCAAAUCAUCAUGCCCCUUAUGUCUUGGGCUUCACGCAUGCUACAAUGGCCGGUACAAAGGGUUGCGAUACUGUGAGGUGGAGCGAAUCCCAUAAAGCCGGUCUCAGUUCGGAUUGGGGUCUGCAACUCGACCCCAUGAAGUCGGAGUCGCUAGUAAUCGCAGAUCAGCAUUGCUGCGGUGAAUACGUUCUCGGGCCU